Molecule: ribosomal RNA, 409 nt
Filed under: Bacillota bacterium
Lineage: Bacteria; Bacillati; Bacillota
Description: Firmicutes bacterium partial 16S ribosomal RNA
Rfam family: Bacterial small subunit ribosomal RNA
Source: RNAcentral
UGGGGAAUAUUGGACAAUGGGCGGAAGCCUGAUCCAGCAACGCCGCGUGAGGGAUGACGGCCUUCGGGUUGUAAACCUCUUUCAGCACCGACGAAGCGCAAGUGACGGUAGGUGCAGAAGAAGGACCGGCCAACUACGUGCCAGCAGCCGCGGUAAUACGUAGGGUCCGAGCGUUGUCCGGAAUUAUUGGGCGUAAAGGGCUCGUAGGCGGUUGGUCGCGUCGGGAGUGAAAACACCGGGCUUAACUCGGUGCUUGCUUUCGAUACGGGCAGACUGGAGGUAUGCAGGGGAGAACGGAAUUCCUGGUGUAGCGGUGAAAUGCGCAGAUAUCAGGAGGAACACCGGUGGCGAAGGCGGUUCUCUGGGCAUUACCUGACGCCGAGGAGCGAAAGUGUGGGGAGCGAACAGG